GACGAACGCUGGCGGCGUGCCUAAUACAUGCAAGUUGAGCGCUGAAGGUUGGUACUUGUACCGACUGGAUGAGCAGCGAACGGGUGAGUAACGCGUGGGGAAUCUGCCUUUGAGCGGGGGACAACAUUUGGAAACGAAUGCUAAUACCGCAUAAAAACUUUAAACACAAGUUUUAAGUUUGAAAGAUGCAAUUGCAUCACUCAAAGAUGAUCCCGCGUUGUAUUAGCUAGUUGGUGAGGUAAAGGCUCACCAAGGCGAUGAUACAUAGCCGACCUGAGAGGGUGAUCGGCCACAGUGGGACUGAGACACGGCCCAAACUCCUACGGGAGGCAGCAGUAGGGAAUCUUCGGCAAUGGACGAAAGUCUGACCGAGCAACGCCGCGUGAGUGAAGAAGGGUUUCGGGUCGUAAAACUCUGUUGGUAGAGAAGAACGUUGGUGAGAGUGGAAAGCUCAUCAAGUGACGGUAACUACCCAGAAAGGGACGGCUAACUACGUG
RNAcentral lists this ribosomal RNA (497 nucleotides) under uncultured bacterium. RNAcentral describes it as "partial 16S ribosomal RNA". It matches the Rfam family "Bacterial small subunit ribosomal RNA", at positions 28 to 507 of the family's 1533-position model. The record is from RNAcentral.